CUUUUCCUAAUAAAUAUCAUCUGAGUAAAAGCAAACCCAUAAAAUAUAUAGUAAUUGGCUCUCGAAUGUGAUAAUUCUUUUUGGGGUGAGUUAAUGUUUUUUUUCUUUUUUAUUUUUAGUUUUGGGUGAAUUGGUGGGGAUGACAGGCCUCUACUCGUAAGUAAAUCAGUGGGGAUGACGAACCCCUACCCAUAAAUGGAUGCAGCACAAGGACUUCCUGGGAAGUCACCCAUCCUAGUACUGCUCUUUUUCAGGAACAUUGUUCAACUGAAGGUCGGUUGGAGCUAUACAGAAUCCCAUUUCAGGGACCAAAACAUGAGUCAUGCUUCACAAGAAUUCAAUAAGGCGUUGAUAUAAGCUAGGAAUUUUUGGAAGCAAGAAUUAAACGUCCCACUUCCUUGUUUGAUUUCGCUGCAUGGAAGUCGCUGUGUGGAAGUGCAGCCUUCCAGACAAUAAUUUUUUUUAGCAUCAAAACUGAUCUGUAUUUGAAACGUCACCCUUCUGAAAUUGUUGGAAGAGCGGUCAUCCAUAAUUUGUGGGAGACUCCCUCCCACUCCAAAAGUCCAGGCAUCAAACACACCCUUAAUGAUGUAGUGGUUAUCACAUGUUCUACCUAAUGGAUUGGUUGUUAUGCACCAUUGUCUCU
Amborella trichopoda is the source of this 646-nucleotide long non-coding RNA. RefSeq lists it as uncharacterized. The record is from RefSeq and is a predicted model, not a curated record. Lineage: Eukaryota; Viridiplantae; Streptophyta; Magnoliopsida; Amborellales; Amborellaceae.